Non-coding RNA from Hypholoma sublateritium FD-334 SS-4, 96 nucleotides. NCBI's taxonomy places the organism in Eukaryota, Fungi, Basidiomycota, Agaricomycetes, Agaricales, Strophariaceae. The record is from Rfam.
GUCACUUUGCCGGAGUGGUUAACGGGAUCGCCUGCUACCUUGUAGUAGAAUAGCGGUUGGUCUUUGACCGCGAGUGUUCGAAUCGCUCAGGUGACG